UGGGGAAUAUUGCACAAUGGGCGCAAGCCUGAUGCAGCGACGCCGCGUGAGGGAUGGAGGCCUUCGGGUUGUAAACCUCUUUCGCCAGUGAAGCAGGCCAUCUUCUUUGUGGGGUGGUUGACGGUAGCUGGAUAAGAAGCGCCGGCUAACUACGUGCCAGCAGCCGCGGUAGUACGUAGGGCGCGAGCGUUGUCCGGAAUUAUUGGGCGUAAAGAGCUCGUAGGCGGCUGGUCGCGUCUGUCGUGAAAUCCCCUGGCUUAACUGGGGGCUUGCGGUGGGUACGGGCCGGCUUGAGUGCGGUAGGGGAGACUGGAAUUCCUGGUGUAGCGGUGGAAUGCGCAGAUAUCAGGAGGAACACCGGUGGCGAAGGCGGGUCUCUGGGCCGUUACUGACGCUGAGGAGCGAAAGCGUGGGGAGCGAACAGG
This 425-nucleotide ribosomal RNA is filed under the name bacterium. RNAcentral's name for it is "partial 16S ribosomal RNA". It matches the Rfam family "Bacterial small subunit ribosomal RNA", at positions 355 to 776 of the family's 1533-position model. The record is from RNAcentral.